RNAcentral lists this ribosomal RNA (432 nucleotides) under uncultured bacterium. RNAcentral's name for it is "partial 16S ribosomal RNA". It matches the Rfam family "Bacterial small subunit ribosomal RNA", at positions 29 to 506 of the family's 1533-position model. The record is from RNAcentral.
AACGAACGCUGGCGGCAUGCCUAACACAUGCAAGUCGAACGAGACCUUCGGGUCUAGUGGCGCACGGGUGCGUAACGCGUGGGAACCUGCCCUUAGGUUCGGAAUAACUCCCCGAAAGGGGUGCUAAUACCGGAUAAUGUCUUCGGACCAAAGAUUUAUCGCCUUUGGAUGGGCCCGCGUUUGAUUAGCUAGUUGGUAGGGUAAAAGCCUACCAAGGCGACGAUCCAUAGCUGGUCUGAGAGGAUGAUCAGCCACACUGGGACUGAGACACGGCCCAGACUCCUACGGGAGGCAGCAGUGGGGAAUAUUGGACAAUGGGCGAAAGCCUGAUCCAGCAAUGCCGCGUGAGUGAUGAAGGCCUUAGGGUUGUAAAGCUCUUUUACCCGGGAUGAUAAUGACAGUACCGGGAGAAUAAGCUCCGGCUACCUCCGU